Molecule: long non-coding RNA, 1107 nt
Organism: Cottoperca gobio
Lineage: Eukaryota; Metazoa; Chordata; Actinopteri; Perciformes; Bovichtidae
Source: Ensembl
AAAGCUUUGUGCAAACCCAAACAAUUUUAUUUUAAAGUCAAGUUGCAAAACAUAUCAAAUAACGUUCAAUCUUUGGGGGAAAAGACAUAAAAUGAUGCACAGAUUUAAAAUAUAAUAACUUGGAGUAAUAAAAGAAUCUGUCCAGGUUUUAACUAUUCAAACGGUGUAAAACAAAGUGGUGAAAGAGGCAGAUUCAGAUGUUUAACUGAUAUUUUCAUGUUUUUUCUAACUUCUAACUAUUUUUAAAUCUAAAUAGCAAAUUAUGAAUAAUGUUCUCACUGAAUGCAGACAUACAGUAAACAAAGACAAGCUACACGAGAUGUUGACAACAUGAAUCAUAAUAAACUGAUCAGUGAAAUGAAACGAUGCAUUCAAGGCAACAGAACAAUUGUAUUUUGCAACGCCAAAAUGUAAAUGUAAAGGAACAAAGAUCAAAGUAACAUGCUUACACAGUUUCCAGUGGUCAGAGGGAAUGGAAACACUGCUGCAGAGAUACAUAUCCUCCACCCACACACACACACACACACACACACACACACACACACACACACACACACACGGUGCAGACCAUGCAUCUCAGUGUGAAAUCAGUAGCUGAUGACACGUUCAGCCUCUGACAUGUUUAACUUGCUCUGAGUUCCUCGUGUUCACCUUCAGUACCUCCUUCCUGUGUGCUGCAGAAUGACUCGGCUAACUGGACCUUCGGUGCUGCUGUUGGUGACGUUGUGUGUGUCGUCUGCUCAGGACAAAGUCACCUUAGAGGUCCGUUACCCUCAGAGCACCACCUCUCCUGCCAGAGGCUCGUCAGUCCAACUCUCCUGCGAUGCGUAUUAUGACUUUGAGCGCUGCGGCCUGCUGGAUGUUGCGUGGUAUCAUCUCUCGAUGCUCGACGCUGCGCUGACCGACCCCAGGAAGUACUGCACCACAGUGAACGAGACCGUCUCUGAGGACAACGUGAGACGCAGGCAGGUCAGGACGGAGAUUUUCAACGUGACACAAGAGAACGACGGGGAAUUUCAAUGCAAGGCUGAAUGUGAGAGUGGAGAGACGUCCAUGGGACAUUACAUCUCCAUCUCUGUCGAAGGUAUUUAUAGAGGAGAUAACUAA